RNAcentral lists this long non-coding RNA (910 nucleotides) under Salmo salar (Atlantic salmon). RNAcentral's name for it is "lncRNA (ENSSSAG00000084764.1, ENSSSAG00075015557.1)". Lineage: Eukaryota; Metazoa; Chordata; Actinopteri; Salmoniformes; Salmonidae. The record is from RNAcentral.
CAGCUUGCCAGUUACAGCAUCAGCGAGAGCUCUGGAAAGGCAGCUUGCCAGUUACAGCAUCAGCGAGAGCUCUGGAAAGGCAGCUUGCCAGUUACAGCAUCAGCGAGAGCUUUGGAAAGGCAGCUUGCCAGCUACAGCAUCAGCGAGAGCUCUGGAAAGGCAGCUUGCCAGUUACAGCAUCAGCGAGAGCUCUGGAAAGGCAGCUUGCCAGUUACAGCAGCACGUCCCCCUGAAUGAUAACGAAGAGGUAACGUUAGGUGAGAAGCCUGACCAGGGAAGCGUACUUCAUGAGCUGUAACCGAAAAACAACUGGCAUUUGGAAAGUUUUAGGUGAGGGAGAAAGUGGUGGAACAAGUAUUAGCAUUGUGCAACAACAAAAAAAGUGUCACCUUUUUGGGCCCUCAGCAGUUUGCAUCCCUGACUGCUUCUUGACACAGUGCCAGCUUGACUCAGAAGCCAGCCGGAGGAAACACCUGGCGACCAUGUCAGCGUGCAUUGCGCCCAGCCCGCCACAGGAGUCGCUAGUGCACGAUGCGACAGUAACAUCCCGGCCGGCCAAACCCUCCCCUAACCCGGACAACACUGGGCCAAUUGUGCGCCGCCCUACGGGUCUCCCGGUCGCGGGCGGCUGCGACAGAGCCUGGACUCAAACCAGGUUCUCUAGUGGCACACCUAGCACUACGAUGCAGUGCCUUAGACCACUGCGCCACUCGGGAAGCCCUGAAAGAAAAAAAAAAAAAACAUUACUCAAUUUUAGAAUAAGGCUGUAACGUAACAAAAUGUGGAAAAAGUCAAGGGGUCUGAAUACUUUUCAAAGACACUGUAAGCUGCUGUAUAUACAGGGUCACUCAACCGUGUGGGAGUCAAAACCAUCAGUUUAGAAUUUCCUGUCAUGUACUGAGGAAAUGUA